ACAUUCUGGACCACGCAUGUAACCUUGGCCACCAUGCUGACUCUCCUGGAUGGGCUGCCAUCAGGGAUCGUAGGUCUCAUGAGCAGACUGUCACCAGAUGAUGGACUGAACCCCAACAGGUGUUCUUGCUGCAUCUAUGCACCGCCAGAACCCCCACACCUCCCAUUCUUCAAAUGGACGUACAGCUUUCUCCUUAAGUCAAUAAAUAAACUUGAAAAAGUUGCUUUAUACCGCUUGAGUAAGUGGUCAGCCUCAUAAGGAGGAGACAACUGUGAAGAUAAAUAUCAUGAAAACAAAACGUGAUUAAAUUAUAACUAGACACUGUUUUCUGCCAAGGCUCUUUGUGUGAAGGUUGUUCUCGCUGUUCGGUGGAAAUAAACACUAGCAAGUGUUAUGAGUUAAA
Molecule: small RNA, 403 nt
Filed under: Pan troglodytes (chimpanzee)
Lineage: Eukaryota; Metazoa; Chordata; Mammalia; Primates; Hominidae
Description: processed transcript
Source: RNAcentral